This 408-nucleotide long non-coding RNA is filed under the name Meriones unguiculatus (Mongolian gerbil). RNAcentral describes it as "lncRNA (ENSMUGG00000003957.1)". The record is from RNAcentral. Lineage: Eukaryota; Metazoa; Chordata; Mammalia; Rodentia; Muridae.
GUACGAGGGCAGGGCGGGGCUGGAGGAGGGGCACCCUGAGAAGGCAAAGGGAGCCAAGAGCCAGUAGCAGCGCAGAGCUGUGAAGGCACAGAGCGCGGCUGAGCAUCCUUGCGCUCAGCGCUCACCAGAGACAGAUCGCAGAGGCAGCUCUGGGAUUUUCUAUCAACACCAAGACUCUGGCUGUGUCUGGAUGCACCCGGAAGAGUCCAAGGAGCUGAGGAGCCGUGGGUCGUCCACAAGGAGAUUCUCAAGGAUGUCUCAGGGCCAGCAGAGUCUCCGUACCAUUUGGAAUUUGAUCACCUGCCAUUCAUAUUGACGUGGGUCUCACUAGGAAAGAGAAGCCUUUCAGACUGGAUAGCAUGAGGAGGGUCUAAUAAAGAGACAAACUUUAUUUAAGGGUAAAAAUAC